GAUGAACGCUGGCGGCGUGCCUAAUACAUGCAAGUCGAGCGAACAGACGAGGAGCUUGCUCCUCUGACGUUAGCGGCGGACGGGUGAGUAACACGUGGAUAACCUACCUAUAAGACUGGGAUAACUUCGGGAAACCGGAGCUAAUACCGGAUAAUAUAUUGAACCGCAUGGUUCAAUAGUGAAAGACGGUUUUGCUGUCACUUAUAGAUGGAUCCGCGCCGCAUUAGCUAGUUGGUAAGGUAACGGCUUACCAAGGCAACGAUGCGUAGCCGACCUGAGAGGGGGAUCGGCCACACUGGAACUGAGACACGGUCCAGACUCCUACGGGAGGCAGCAGUAGCGAAUCUUCCGCAAUGGGCGAAAGCCUGACGGAGCAACGCCGCGUGAGUGAUGAAGGUCUUCGGAUCGUAAAACUCUGUUAUUAGGGAAGAACAAAUGUGUAAGUAACUAUGCACGUCUUGACGGUACCUAAUCAGAAAGCCACGGCUAACUACGUG
This 497-nucleotide ribosomal RNA is filed under the name uncultured bacterium. RNAcentral's name for it is "partial 16S ribosomal RNA". It matches the Rfam family "Bacterial small subunit ribosomal RNA", at positions 28 to 507 of the family's 1533-position model. The record is from RNAcentral.